RNAcentral lists this ribosomal RNA (396 nucleotides) under uncultured bacterium. Its description in RNAcentral is "partial 16S ribosomal RNA". It matches the Rfam family "Bacterial small subunit ribosomal RNA", at positions 523 to 918 of the family's 1533-position model. The record is from RNAcentral.
AUACGUAGGUGGCAAGCGUUGUCCGGAUUUACUGGGUGUAAAGGGCGUGUAGGCGGAGAUGCAAGUCAGGAGUGAAAUCUAGGGGCUCAACCCCUAAACUGCUUUUGAAACUGUAUCCCUUGAGUAUCGGAGAGGCAGGCGGAAUUCCUAGUGUAGCGGUGAAAUGCGUAGAUAUUAGUAGGAACACCAGUGGCGAAGGCGGCCUGCUGGACGACAACUGACGCUGAGGCGCGAAAGCGUGGGGAGCAAACAGUAUUAGAUACCCUGGUAGUCCACGCUGUAAACGAUGAAUACUAGGUGUGGGGGGACUGACCCCCUCCGUGCCGCAGUUAACACAAUAAGUAUUCCACCUGGGGAGUACUAUCGCAUGAUUGAAACUCAAAUGAAUUGCCGGGG